GCCCUUGUAGCUCAGUUGGUUAGAGCGCGAGUCUCAUAAUCUCGAGGUCGUGGGAUCGACCCCCACCAAAGGCA
Molecule: transfer RNA, 74 nt
Organism: Paramecium tetraurelia
Lineage: Eukaryota; Ciliophora; Oligohymenophorea; Peniculida; Parameciidae
Rfam family: tRNA
About the family: Transfer RNA (tRNA) molecules are approximately 80 nucleotides in length.
Source: Rfam